AUGUUGCUGUUUCAAGUGUGUUGAGUCAAUUGUUGAUUCUGUGUGUAGCUUUUUGAACAGCUACUUAUCCAUAUUGAACUAGUUUUGUGAAGUUCAGCGGGGAGUAUGUAGCUGGUUUAAAAAAAAUUGUGAAAUAUAAUUAAGAUUGUUAGUGAACUUCAUCAAAACUUAACUAUUUUUGUUUUCGUAUUUUGUGUGAGUUGUAAUCCUAUAAAAUGUACAUAGUUCUAGUGGGAACCAAUUAUGCAGAAUACUGUUGUAUAUGGGGCACAUAUUGGUGACGCAACGAUAGCUCGUGCGAUGUGCGAUCAGCGCCAUAUUUAGAAGCACAUUUUCCGCUGACGGGGUCGGGUGUGCUCUCUCUCGCUCAUCUGACGAGCGUGCUGCUGUCUGUGCUGUAUGAGCUGUAUGAGACUGAGAGGGAGAGACGUGUAUCUCACGGGAAAAAAGAGUAUUAAUUGUGCUCUGUAUUUCUGCAGAAUAAAGAUCCUGAGACCUCUUCAAUCGGCGUUGUCUUC
Non-coding RNA from Pimephales promelas (fathead minnow), 518 nucleotides. Lineage: Eukaryota; Metazoa; Chordata; Actinopteri; Cypriniformes; Leuciscidae. The record is from RefSeq and is a predicted model, not a curated record.